GGUGGUUAUUGCAAUGGGGCUCACCUCUUUCCAUCCCGAACAGAGAAGUUAAGCCCAUUCGCGCCGAUGGUACUACUAUUGUGGAAGAGUAGGUCACCGCC
RNAcentral lists this ribosomal RNA (101 nucleotides) under Flavobacteriaceae bacterium. Lineage: Bacteria; Pseudomonadati; Bacteroidota; Flavobacteriia; Flavobacteriales; Flavobacteriaceae. The record is from RNAcentral.